This is a long non-coding RNA of Ornithorhynchus anatinus (platypus), 1851 nucleotides long. RefSeq lists it as uncharacterized. Lineage: Eukaryota; Metazoa; Chordata; Mammalia; Monotremata; Ornithorhynchidae. The transcript has 2 exons. The record is from RefSeq and is a predicted model, not a curated record.
ACUAAUGGCUGGCCUUAAACGACAUUCAACUCUACAGCAGCCUGGUACAUUUAGAAGAGGAAGGACAGUCAUUCAUCAAAACUGCCGAAUGGGAAAUGCUGUUCCCAUCACACCUGCCACAUUACCACCAGUCGCUUCAGGAUUCGGAUGUUCAGUGCCGUCGGUUACGGAAAAGGAUUCGGUCAAGCCGGACAGAAGGCUCCCAGGUUUUGCAGAAGAACUCACUUCAACCUUCCUUUGAGAAAAGUCAGUUAAUGCCGGCUGCUCUGUGUUCUGAUCCCGCAAGUGCCUAUCCAUUGAAGCCUGAAUAGAAGAAACCAUUUCCUGCAAUUUUUUUCUCUGAGCCUCUAUCAAGUUAGGGUCAAGCUGCCUGCUGUCUCUCAUCGUUACUACUCCAGGAGCUAUUCGGAUAAGCUCACUGUUACCAGGAGCAUCCGUGAAUACAGAAGGCUCGGUUUUUAUGGAACUUGUACCAAAGUCUGUCCCUGUGCUAUGUUUUCUUGCAACUGGAGUUUCUCUUACUCUCUGAUCAAGAUGGGGGCUACUAGAUGCAGUUCCUAGAGAAUGCCCUUUCCCUUGAAAUGCAGUUAUGUUAUGCAAUUGUUCAGAUUUCUUUUUUACUACUCCACCACUACCUAAUUUCAAGAGACCAUGUGAAGGACUUGCUUCCCUACUUCUUGAAGUAGCCUCUGCUCGAACCUGACUUAAGGCCUCUUUAACUAAAUCUUCAACAUCAGGACCGAUGGGGAAGUGCCCUGCGGUAUCCACACACAAUUCCAGUCUGUCUUCUGUGGCAUUGUAGACAAAGGUUUUACCCGGCAGAUGUGGAAAAGUACAAUGCUUGCCAUCAGUCAUACCUAGGAAGGGAAAGAAAGGAGAAAAAACAAAAACCCACACGUUUGAAAGUCCUUUCAAACUUUGUAAAACAUUUACAAAAAAUUCAAUUAUUUCUGAAGCAGCAUAUCUUAAUUACAUUGAUAAUCUCUUUUAUAAGGGGGCACUUGUUCGUAGAAGUUCAUUUCAGUUGCGCACAUCUGGCUGCAGAAUUUAGCCCAAAGGUCAUGGGUUUUGAAGAAAUGGCCUAGCCAGUGGAUGACAGCCAGGAAAGCACAUGAGAGCACAUACUCCAAGCCCAAAUCAGGAGGUGUGAGAAUGUGUUCUGCGACUAUUCACUGGGUUAUAUUUUGGGGGCUCAGAAGCACCCCUUCUCAUCCCCUUCGGAAAAUUCUAAAGAGCCACACCAAGGGAGAAGGGGUGAUGGUUUCUUUUGAAAAUUUUAUAGUCACCUUUUCUCCAAGUACUUCACAGACAAACUGUUAUAAUUAUUUUGCUAUGCAGGGUGGUGAACUCGAGAUUGGAAGGAUGACCCAGCUGACUUAGAUACCAGUGGCAGUUGGGGAUAAACGGGUCUCAAGAGGAAACCAACAACUCUGCUAACAGGAAGAGUUUAAAACCUGUCGGGUCAUUUGUAUCUUUAGAAAGGCAAAUUUUAAAAGGGGCCAUUUUUUAAGCAUCAAAGCUAUGCCAUAUUUAAUCCAAGGCUUGGCACUUUUAAAGGCACCAUGAGAAAACAAUCUCCAAGAGAUUCUUUAGGAAUACUUGUAUUUUGGGUGCUACCAGGUGCUCCUUUCAGAGCACUCAGAACUGGUUGGAGUCUCAAUUUGAGGAAUCUGGUUUGAUGCCCUUCCAAUAUCUGGGAACUCCCUUUUUCCCUCUCCCCCUACCCCGAUCUCCACUCAGCUUUUGGUUUCCCCAUCAGCUAGCACAUUUGGGACCUUGCAACUCGAUUACCUUUUUAACUCAAAUGCAGGGUCUGGAGAAGAUGUACCUAGUAAAGAAAUCUAAUCGCCA